Molecule: ribosomal RNA, 254 nt
Filed under: uncultured bacterium
Lineage: Bacteria
Description: partial 16S ribosomal RNA
Rfam family: Bacterial small subunit ribosomal RNA
Source: RNAcentral
UACGAAGGGUGCAAGCGUUGUCCGGAAUUAUUGGGCGUAAAGAGCUCGUAGGCGGUCUGUCGCGUCGGCUGUGAAAACCCGGGGCUCAACCCCGGGCCUGCAGUCGAUACGGGCAGACUAGAGUGCGGUAGGGGAGACUGGAAUUCCUGGUGUAGCGGUGAAAUGCGCAGAUAUCAGGAGGAACACCGGUGGCGAAGGCGGGUCUCUGGGCCGUAACUGACGCUGGAGGAGCGACAGCGUGGGGAGCAAACAGG